CCUGUUAUUUAUAACCUCUGAAGGCAGAAGAAAAAAAUCAGCCUGCUUACUCAGAGGAGCAACAAGCAAUGGAUCCCAAAGGCCAGAAAGUGAAGCUUAAUGAUGGCCACUUCAUUCCUGUCCUGGGAUUUGGAACUUUUGCACCUCCAGAGGUUCCUAAGAGUGAAGCUCUGGAGGUCACCAAAUUUGCUAUAGAGGCUGGGUUCCGCCAUAUUGACAGUGCUCAUUUGUACCAAAAUGAAGAGCAGGUUGGCCAGGCCAUUCGAAGCAAGAUUGCCAAUGGAACUGUGAAGAGAGAAGACAUAUUCUACACUUCAAAGCUUUGGUCCACUUCCCUUCGUCCAGAGUUGGUCCGACCAGCCUUGGAAAAGUCACUGAAUAAUCUUCAACUGGACUAUGUCGAUCUCUAUAUUAUUCAUUUUCCAGUGGCUCUGAAGCCAGGGGAAGCAAUUUUUCCAACAGAUGAAAAUGGAAAACCAAUAUUUGACUCAGUGGAUCUCUGUCACACGUGGGAGGCCCUGGAGAAGUGUAAGGACGCAGGGUUGACCAAGUCCAUUGGGGUGUCCAACUUCAACCACAAGCAGCUGGAGAAGAUUCUGAACAAGCCGGGGCUCAAGUACAAGCCCGUCUGCAACCAGGUGGAAUGUCACCCUUAUCUCAACCAGAGCAAACUGUUGGAUUUCUGCAAGUCACAUGAUAUUGUUCUUGUUGCCUAUGGUGCUCUGGGAUCCCAACGAAUAAAAGAAUGGGUGAACCCAAACCUCCCCUAUCUCUUGGAGGACCCGGUUCUCUCUGCCAUUGCCAAAAAACACAAGCAAACCCCAGCUCUGGUUGCCCUUCGCUACCAGAUACAACGUGGGGUUGUGGUUCUGGCCAAGAGUUACAACAAGAAGCGGAUCAAAGAGAACAUACAGGUGUUUGAUUUUGAACUGACUCCAGAGGACAUGAAAGCAAUCGAUGGCCUCAACGGCAAUUUAAGAUAUAAUGAGAUACAAAUGUGUGUUGGUCACCCUGAGUAUCCAUUUUUCGAAGAAUAUUGACUGUGAGUUGUACACCGUGCAUUCUACCAGAAUGUCUUGCCUCUAGGGCUGUGAAGAGGAUUUCUCAAUAAUUAGACAUUGAGACCUCGAAGCAGUAAUCCUCUCUUUUCCCUCUGUAGCUGGGCUGACCACCAUGCAGGCAGCUGGACCUGAACGCACAAAGGACUUGGGGCAAUGGGUGUCUCUGUGAAGCUAGUCCCUGAAGAUGGGGGUACUCCCAAGUCUUUGCUCUGUAUCUAAACCAGAGUAUGUUCUUCAGCUACAAUUUUCCAAGAAAGAUCAAGAUCUUCCAAAAAGAAGGAAUAACUGUAUUUUCUUCUUAUUCAUCUGAAUUUGUGGGUGGAAAUCACGAACACUGUAUUGAGCAGAAUUUUCUAGUUAUCAGAACAAGAACAAUAGUUGUGCUUGCUCCAGGACAUGAAGAAAUUGUUCUCAUUGAAGAUGGAGUAAAUGAACACCCAGCAGAUGUUGAAAUGCACAUCACCUAAGAAGAGAUCCUUGAAUGUUUGCUUGCGAAUCUGAGCAUUUCUUAUACACUAUUAUCAGCCCCUUCUAUAAUAAAGAUGUUUAUGGAUGUAA
Dama dama (fallow deer) is the source of this 1619-nucleotide RNA transcript. It is a transcript of the gene named dihydrodiol dehydrogenase 3, with no coding region annotated. Lineage: Eukaryota; Metazoa; Chordata; Mammalia; Artiodactyla; Cervidae. The record is from RefSeq and is a predicted model, not a curated record. The transcript has 10 exons.